RNAcentral lists this ribosomal RNA (1980 nucleotides) under Triticum aestivum (bread wheat). RNAcentral's name for it is "partial small subunit ribosomal RNA". Lineage: Eukaryota; Viridiplantae; Streptophyta; Magnoliopsida; Poales; Poaceae. The record is from RNAcentral.
AUGUUCUUGGCCAGACGACCAUCUGGGUUGUCUAAUAUCAGCAGGCUCUGCAUUCUCCACACCGUUUCUUGGAUACUCUCAUCGAGGCGGGCACGAUUCAGUGGCGGUAGCGAUGAUGCCACUGCGACUUCUCUCUGCCGGCUGUCAGAUCUUUUCCGCCCAGUCCGGAUGGACAUCAGCCGUGUCAUCUUGCGGGCACUUGAAUCCGGUACAUGUUCGGAGUCGGUGGAGCUGGAGAGGCUUGACGUCGAGCUGGAUCCUUUUGUUGUCAACUUGGUGGUCCGUGGCUUGUCGGACUCAGAGACAGCGGUGCGGUUUUACUUGUGGGCAGAGUCCCGUCCGGGAUUCGAUCAUAGCCAGUUUGCAAUAGCGUACAUUGUGAGCUUGCUGUUUGUAGAUGAAAAUUUUGCUCUGUUGUCGGAGUUCCUGGGGACAGUGAGGAGCCAAGGGGUGGCACUGCAUCGAUCACUAUAUCGGAUCCUUUUGUCUGGCUAUGUCCGAGCUGGCAAGUUUGAUUCGGUCAUAGAGACAUUUGAUGAGAUGGUCAUGUCAGGUUGCCGUGAGUUUGGUAUCGACUACAAUAGGUACAUAGGUGUUCUAAUUAAGAACUGUUGCUUUGAUUUAGUGGAGAAGUAUUAUGGCAUGGCGCUCUCGAAAGGUUUUUGUCUGACUCCAUUCACUUACUCAAGGUGGAUCUCUGCAUUGUGUCAAUCAAGUAGGAUUGAGCUUGUAGAGGAGCUUCUGGCUGACAUGGAUAGAUUUGGCUGUUCUCCAGAUAUUUGGGCUUGUAAUAUAUACAUCGAUUAUUUGUGUAAACAGAACAGGUUACAUGAUGCACUGCAGAUGGUAGAGAAGAUGCGGGGGAAAGGAACCAGCCCAGAUGUUGUGACUUAUACAACAGUUGUUGGCUGCUUAUGUAACAAUAAGAGGUUCUCAGAAGCAGUUGGACUUUGGGAAGAAAUGGUGAAGAUGGGCCUUAAACCAGAUGUUGUUGCCUGUGGUGCACUGAUCUUUGGGCUGUGCAAGAAUAGCAAGGUUGAAGAGGCUUUUGAACUGGCAUCAAGGAUGUUAAGUCUGAACAUAGAACUGAGUGUCUCAAUAUACAACGCCCUAAUAAGUGGCUUCUGGAGAGCUGGGAGCAUUGAUAAAGCCUACACCAUCAUAUCAUUCAUGCGGACAAACGGAUGUGAGCCAGAUGUUGUUACAUAUAAUAUCCUCUUGAAUCAUUACUGCACUAUAGGUAUGAUAGAGAAAGCUGAAAAAUUGAUAACAAAGAUGGAAACAAGCGGUGUAAAUCCUGACCGAUACAGCUAUAAUCAGCUGUUGAAAGGGCUCUGCAAAACUCAUCAACUGGACAAGGCAUUUGCUUUUGUUUCUGAUCAUAUGGAAGUUGGUGGGUUCUGUGAUAUUGUAUCCUGUAACAUAUUGAUUGAUGCAUUUUGCAAGGCCAAAAAGGUAAAAUCUGCACUGGAGCUGUUCAAGGAAAUGGAUUAUAAGGGAAUGCAAGCUGAUGCUGUGACAUAUGGGACUCUGAUCAAUGGUCUUUCCAGUGUAGGAUACUAUAAUAUAGCUGAAGAACUUUUUGAGCAGAUGCUGAAGGCUCAGAUUGACCCUAAUGUUAAUCUGUACAAUAUAAUGCUUCAUCACCUGUGCAAGGUUGGUGAUCUCAAACGUGCUCAGAAAAUAUUCUCGCAUAUGAUUCAGAAGGAAAUCUUACCUGACACUGUUACUUAUAAUACACUCAUAUAUUGGCUUGGAAAAAACUCAAGAGCAAUGGAAGCCCUUGAUCUCUUCAAGGAUAUGAGGACACAGGGAGUAGAACCAGAUAGCUUGACAUUCAAGUAUUUGAUCAACGGCCUCCUGGACGAGGGAAGAUCUACACUAGCUUAUGAGGUAUGGGAAUAUAUGAUGGAAAAUGGAAUCAUUCUCGACAGAGAAGUUUCUGAAAGGUUGAUAAGUGUGCUUAAAUUGAAGAACAAG